GGAUGUGGCUCAAUGGUAAAGUGCUUGCCUGGCAUGCAUGAGGCUCUGGGCCCUGGGUUCAAAUAACCAAGCACCA
This 76-nucleotide transfer RNA is filed under the name Marmota monax (woodchuck). RNAcentral's name for it is "tRNA.Ala". The record is from RNAcentral. Lineage: Eukaryota; Metazoa; Chordata; Mammalia; Rodentia; Sciuridae.